Molecule: ribosomal RNA, 508 nt
Filed under: uncultured Glomus
Lineage: Eukaryota; Fungi; Glomeromycota; Glomeromycetes; Glomerales; Glomeraceae
Description: SSU rRNA
Rfam family: Eukaryotic small subunit ribosomal RNA
Source: RNAcentral
AGCAGCCGCGGUAAUUCCAGCUCCAAUAGCGUAUAUUAAAGUUGUUGCAGUUAAAAAGCUCGUAGUUGAAUUUCGGGAUCAAUAUAUCGGUCGUGCCUUCGGUACGUACUGGUAUCAUUGGUUUCUCCUUUCUGACGAACCACGAUGUCAUUAAUUUGGUGUUAUGGGGAGUUAGGACUGUUACUUUGAAAAAAUUAGAGUGUUUAAAGCAGGCUUUAGCUUGAAUACAUUAGCAUGGAAUAAUGAAAUAGGACGUUCGAACCUAUUUUGUUGGUUUCUAGGAUCAACGUAAUGAUUAAUAGGGAUAGUUGGGGGCAUUAGUAUUCAAUUGUCAGAGGUGAAAUUCUUGGAUUUAUUGAAGACUAACUACUGCGAAAGCAUUUGCCAAGGAUGUUUUCAUUAAUCAAGAACGAAAGUUAGGGGAUCGAAGACGAUCAGAUACCGUCGUAGUCUUAACCAUAAACUAUGCCGACUAGGGAUCGGAUGAUGUUAAUUUUUUAAUGACUCA